AACUAGUAUAUUCAACACCUAUUCUAACAUGAUCGUCCGUCUUAUUCGAAAUUUUUUUAUAAUUAGUAUUUUUAUUUUUAUUUUUAUUACAUUAUAAAACAUGAAUAUUACUUUACGCGUGACUUACUUUUUUAGUUUUUUUCAAAAAAAAUUAAAUAAGAUAGAAGAUUAAAGUUAGACAUAAAAACUCAUGACUGCGCUUAUU
RNAcentral lists this microRNA precursor (205 nucleotides) under Oryza glumipatula. RNAcentral's name for it is "MIR812 microRNA precursor family". The stretch from base 23 to 205 matches the Rfam family "MIR812 microRNA precursor family", at positions 27 to 205 of the family's 205-position model. The record is from Rfam by way of RNAcentral. Lineage: Eukaryota; Viridiplantae; Streptophyta; Magnoliopsida; Poales; Poaceae.